Molecule: long non-coding RNA, 475 nt
Filed under: Salvia miltiorrhiza (redroot sage)
Lineage: Eukaryota; Viridiplantae; Streptophyta; Magnoliopsida; Lamiales; Lamiaceae
Description: long non-coding RNA (SMIL_LNC005479)
Source: RNAcentral
UCCACGCCGCCAAUUUCCUGGUGGCCAAGCACUCCCGCACCCUCCUCUGCCACGUCUGCCACUCGCCUACGCCGUGGAAGGCCGCCGGCCCCAAGCUCGGCCCCACCGUUUCCGUCUGCCACGCCUGCGCUCAUCGCAACCAACACCCAUCUCAAACCACUGAAACCGACUCUGACGAUGAUGAUCGCCAAUAUUCUGCCACUGAGACAGAUGAUUCCAGUGAAGACGAAGAUGAGGCCGAGGCCGAGGACGUGGAUGAGAAUCAAGUGGUGCCGUGGUCGGAUUCGCCGCCGGCCAGCGCCGACGAUGAGGAGAAUGAGAAUGAGAAUGAGAAUGAGAAUGUUUCUCUCUCCUCCUCAAAAAGAGCCCGUGACGACCCUUUCCCGUCUUCUGAGGUAAAAAAAAAAAUCAUCAAAUCGUUUCACAUAUAUAAACGUUGAAAUUGAUGGGUUGGUGAUGAUAAAUUUUGGGUUGG